RNAcentral lists this ribosomal RNA (324 nucleotides) under uncultured eukaryote. Its description in RNAcentral is "partial 18S ribosomal RNA". It matches the Rfam family "Eukaryotic small subunit ribosomal RNA", at positions 1470 to 1796 of the family's 1831-position model. The record is from RNAcentral.
CCCUUAGAUGUCCUGGGCUGCACGCGCGCUACACUGAUGUGUCCAGUAAGCACCUAACCUCUUCCGAAAGGAACGGGUAACCUUUGCAAAGCACAUCGUGAUGGGGAUAGAUUAUUGCAAUUAUUAGUAUUGAACGAGGAAUUCCUAGUAAGCACAAGUCAUCAGCUUGUGUUGAUUACGUCCCUGCCCUUUGUACACACCGCCCGUCGCUCCUACCGAUUGAAUGUUCCGGUGAGCUCUUCGGACUGCGCGGUCUGCAGUUUCUGCGUUCCGUGCGGAAAGUUGCGCAAACCUUAACAUUUAGAGGAAGGAGAAGUCGUAACA